GAGGCUACUGGAGGGGGAAGAUUUAGACUUUGCUUAUGAUAGCAUUUCAGCCUUUUCUUCCGGCAGAGACAAUCAGGAAGCAGUUUUUGGAGCUGAAGAAAGUUUAAAAGAUAUACGUGAUGCAACUCUGGCAUAUAAAGGUGAAGCUUUAGAAUUGCAGAGACAGCUUAGGCACCUGCAGUCUCAAUUUGAUAUGCUCACUGGCCAGGCGUCGGCUUUGAUUCAAGGGAGACGGGCUCGAGUUGCUGCAACAUCUACUGUCAAUGGAUACCUUACAUCAAUAGAUGAUAGUCUUUCAGCNNNNNNNNNNNNAAUGAAGUUCUUGGAAGGAUCACAUCUACGGCACAAGAGUUGGCUCACUAUCACUCUGGGGAUGAGGAUGGCAUUUACUUAGCUUACUCUGAUUUUCAUCCGUACUUGCUUGGAGAUUCAUCUUGUAUAAAGGAAAUAAACCAGUGGUUUUCUAAGCAACUGGACACGGGUCCUUUUCGACUUGUUGCUGAGGAGGGCAAAUCAAAGUGUUCGUGGGUGAGUCUUGAUGACAUCUCAAAUAUUUUAGUAAGAGAUUUAGAAAAAUCUCAUCACCAACGUGUGUCUGAGUUGCAAAGGCUUCGAUCCAUAUUUGGAACAAGUGAAAGACAAUGGGUUGAAGCUCAGGUUGAGAAUGCUAAGCAACAAGCUAUUCUCAUGGCACUUAAAUCUCAAAUAACUUCAGAUGAAGCUCACAUUCAUCUUGAUCUUCACACUCUUAGAAGAAGGCAUGCUGAACUGGUGGGGGAACUUUCAAAUCUUCAUCACAAAGAAGAGAAAUUAUUAUCUGAGACCAUUCCAGAUCUUUGUUGGGAGCUGGCUCAACUCCAAGACACGUAUAUUUUGCAAGGUGAUUAUGAUCUGAAGGUCAUGCGACAAGAAUAUUAUAUUAGUCGACAGAAAACGUAUAUAAAUCAUCUAAUCAAUCAGCUAGCAAGGCAUCAGUUCUUAAAAAUAGCUUGUCAGUUGGAAAAAAAGGACAUGCUUGGAGCAUAUUCAUUACUUAAAGUUAUCGAGUCGGAGCUUCAGGGGUACCUGUCAGCAACUAAAGGCAGAGUGGGUCGUUGCCU
This 1100-nucleotide unclassified non-coding RNA is filed under the name Hevea brasiliensis (rubber tree). The record is from RNAcentral. Lineage: Eukaryota; Viridiplantae; Streptophyta; Magnoliopsida; Malpighiales; Euphorbiaceae.